Molecule: long non-coding RNA, 1344 nt
Filed under: Rattus norvegicus (Norway rat)
Lineage: Eukaryota; Metazoa; Chordata; Mammalia; Rodentia; Muridae
Description: long non-coding RNA NONRATT014325
Source: RNAcentral
AAAUGGUAACUGGCUGCUGGUUGGGGAUCCGGUAAGCCAGGCAGAUCCCAGAACGUACGAGCACACUCAAGAUAUCAGUGACCGAGGUAUCAAUACUUCUUCUAGCUACGCUGUGUCUCUUGGUCCCGUUUGGGCGUUUAAUUUUGCAUCAGUCCCAAAGGCAAUAGGAGGAACUCGAGUGAGUGCCUCAGAUACUGUGCUCGCAGAGUGAGUACCUCAGGUAAUGUGCUCGCAGAGUGAGUACCUCAGGCACUGUGCUCACAGUGAGCACUCCAAGUACUGUGCUCCCAGGGUGUCUGUCUCUUGAGAGAUUAAGGUUAUAAUCAGGCCACAUGGCUUCAAAACCAGUGCUUCCAUGACUCCACAGGAGCCAAAGUAGUUUUGUGGUUCGGGGUAGGGGCGGGGGUUCACAGCCUAGGGAGCUGUAUUAAAAGGUCGCAGCAUCAGGAUGGUGGAGAACCGCUGCUCUGUAGGUUAAGCACGGAAUGUAAGGUGGGCUCCUGGUCUUCGUGCUGCCAAGAGGAUUAUGUGGUAGGACAGGUGGACACCUGGAUGAUGUGGCUUGGGUGGAGAGGGACACCUGGGACCUCAGAGACUGCAUCUGCCACCCAGACAUCUCUCUGCAAACCUGUCUCAGUACAGUCAUGGAGGAGGCUUGCAUCUUUUGUCUCUCGCUGCUCUUGGGAUAGCUACUCCGCCUCUUAGAGCCUCAGUUUGCCACCUGAAUUGGUCAGCGGCCCCGUAAUAUGGAGCCAAGAGCCCCAGAUGGAAUCCAGGCUGGCCAGGGUGUUAGCAGGCAACUCCUACCUUGGCUGACGACUCAGGACUUUUUAGAGAUGGAGAGUUGAAAAAGAGAGUUACAUCAUUGCCGCCAAAAAGGUGACCAAGGGCAGGGUGAUGUGCGGCGACAAGAUGGCAGACAAAGGGAAAAAGAAGAAAGAAAGCAUCUUGGAUCUGCCCAAGUACAUUGAUAAGACCAUCCGAGUGAAGUUCCAGGGUGGCUGGGAAGCCAGUGGCAUCUCGAAAGGGUUUGACUCACUGCUCAACUUGGUGCUGGAUGGAACCAUUGAGUACAGGCGAGACCCUGAUGACCAGCACAAGCUGACGGAGGACGCUCGGCAGCUCGGGCUCAUAGUGUGUCCUGGCACCUCGGUGGUGCUCAUCUGCCCUCAGGAUGCCAUGGAGGCCCUCCCUAACCCCUUUGUGCAGCAGCAGGACACUUAGCAGCCGUGGAGGGCGGCCUGGCCUCAGUAGCCUUCCUUCUAUAGGGUGAACUUCUUUUUGAUGUUUUGGUCUUUGUUUGUUUGUUUGUUUGUUUUGUUUUUAAAUAAAAUUGCCCACGUG